CCUCCCAUUGAGCGAGGCGGGGUGGAGAGCCGGCCGGGGUCUGCCCCUUCACAUGGCGAUGUCUCCGGCAGGUCCCGGCCGCCCGGGCCACACAGCACUCACGCACUUUGGGGAACCACCAAGAAACUCUCGUUUUGCUGAAGUAAUCCCCCCAGCUGAAGUAACCCCCUCACCUCCCCGUGUUCCUUAUGGCACCUGCAAAUCGUACUAAAAUGCACCGCAAGAAAAAUACGGCAACGCUUCACCCAUGUGCUCCAUCUCCACGUGGGGAGCCUCAUUGGCAGCUCUGUGCCUUCCAACACACGGCACGGCCCAGGGGUGGCUCCGGGGGCAGCCCUUGUCAGGGCUGAACUGGGAGAAAGUGGAUCCAGGUCUCCUUCAAAUGGGAAAUGUGAUUUAACGAAGUGAGUUUAUAACUCAGAAAGUGUGUGCUGUAUGUAUGGCAUCAUACGCUGCGUGAUUUCCAGAAACUAAAUAUUUAUAUAUAGAUAGAUCUAAUACUGUACAAACAAAUAGAAUUCCUAUCAGAAAGAAGCAUGUAAUUACUCCAUCUGGAUUUGCAGCGCUACCAACCAUCUAUACAACCCUAUAGCUUGAACAAAGCUUGUGUUCCAAGCUCCAGAACUCAGCACAGCUCCAUGUGCCCUUCCCAGUUCCUGGGUGCCUGGGUGAGAAGUGGGGCAGCUCUGCUUUCUCCUGGGGCCAGGAGAGCUGGUCCCACUGAGCAGGCAGGGAGUGCCAUGCGGAUGUCUGCUGCUGACCAUGCGUGCCUUGCAAGAGUUUCAUUCGUGCUCACGGCAUGUUUUAUUUAAAAGCACAGAACUGCAAUGACUUCUGAUGUGUGUGAUUUGUCAGAAGGAUGCUGAAGUUCACCUCCCUGUAUCAGGGGCUGUACCUGCGGUGGUCCUCCUCUUUAGAAGCAUCUGCUGUGUGGGGAAGCCGAUAGAGAUUGCUGUGAGAUGACAGCGCUCCUUCAGUCCAACCACGUGGAUUCCCAACACAGAGGAGUGGGACACUCAGCACGGUGUGAUGUGAUACUAAGAUUUCUUCUCAGAAUGCUGCCCCUGUUCUUCCCCUUUCCUCCCACCUGAAGGUCAAUAAUACACCUCUGUGUCCCCAAGGUUUAAAAGAGCCACAGAAAACCCUCAGACUGACCUCAAACCAUUUUCUCAGUCUUCUUUACGUGAGACUUGGGGGAUUUUGGAAGGAAUUUCCAAACACAACUAAAUACCCACAUGAAACCAAGUGGAUACUGCAAAGAAUUUGUCAGAGAGGCUGAAAUUACUGAAACAAACUGUCAGGAUUCUUAGAAAAUAUCAUCGAAUGGCCUGGGUUGGAAAGGACCGCAAUGAUCAUUGAGUUCCAACCCCCAGCUAUCAAACCUAAUGCACUGGUUUUAAAGCUUGAAGUCCAGAGGGUGUUGGAAAUAAUAUGUAUUUAGAGACAUUAUAAAUCACCAAAACAAUGGGCUUUGAAUAAAAGGCUUUCAUAGCAACAUUUUAAACAUGUUUUGCGCUUUGCUUUCCUAAAAGUAACGCAGCUUUUAUCGCUAUUGGAAUGAGUGAGCGCACGUCUUGCAUUGUGAUGGCAAAGGAGGUUUUUCCAUAGAAAAAUGAAUAAAUCUCUAACUUAUAACGGAGGAUAUCUUCUUUUUUCUCAAUUUGCACACACAUUGAGAAAUUGGUGUUUUAAGGAGCUCAUUAAAUGGCAUGAAAUGCAGGCAGGAUAACAUGAGUCACUCAUUCUAAAGUUACUUCAACCUAAAGGGCUUUGUUUUGCAUUGGGGAAAAUAUUGGGAACGUUUAUCUCCAAAGAAAGAAAGGAGAUCUCUCUCUUCAUCUCUAUUUUCUUUUGGAAAAUAUGGGUGGUUUUUUUUACUUUCUUUGUUCAAUUCCAGUGUUUUUAACACUGGAAAAAAGAGAAACAACUUCUACCGAACUGCAUUUAAACCAGGAAAAUCCAAACGUGUUACCUGGAUUGGAAUUAAACUGUGAUUAAACCA
Non-coding RNA from Coturnix japonica (Japanese quail), 2002 nucleotides. The record is from RefSeq and is a predicted model, not a curated record. Lineage: Eukaryota; Metazoa; Chordata; Aves; Galliformes; Phasianidae.